GAUGAACGCUGGCAGCGUGCCUAAUACAUGCAAGUCGAGCGAACAGAUGAGGAGCUUGCUCCUCUGACGUUAGCGGCGGACGGGUGAGUAACACGUGGAUAACCUACCUAUAAGACUGGGAUAACUUCGGGAAACCGGAGCUAAUACCGGAUAAUAUAUUGAACCGCAUGGUUCAAUAGUGAAAGACGGUUUUGCUGUCACUUAUAGAUGGAUCCGCGCCGCAUUAGCUAGUUGGUAAGGUAACGGCUUACCAAGGCGACGAUGCGUAGCCGACCUGAGAGGGUGAUCGGCCACACUGGAACUGAGACACGGUCCAGACUCCUACGGGAGGCAGCAGUAGGGAAUCUUCCGCAAUGGGCGAAAGCCUGACGGAGCAACGCCGCGUGAGUGAUGAAGGUCUUCGGAUCGUAAAACUCUGUUAUUAGGGAAGAACAAAUGUGUAAGUAACUAUGCACGUCUUGACGGUACCUAAUCAGAAAGCCACGGCUAACUACGUG
This 497-nucleotide ribosomal RNA is filed under the name uncultured bacterium. Its description in RNAcentral is "partial 16S ribosomal RNA". It matches the Rfam family "Bacterial small subunit ribosomal RNA", at positions 28 to 507 of the family's 1533-position model. The record is from RNAcentral.